UGUGCGGUAGAGGAGCGUUCUGUAAGCCUGUGAAGGUCAAUUGAGAAGUUGGCUGGAGGUAUCAGAAGUGCGAAUGCUGACAUGAGUAACGACAAAGGGAGUGAAAAACUCCCUCGCCGGAAGACCAAGGGUUCCUGCGCAACGUUAAUCGACGCAGGGUGAGUCGACCCCUAAGGCGAGGCCGAAAGGCGUAGUCGAUGGGAAACGGGUUAAUAUUCCCGUACUUCUGGUUACUGCGAUGGGGGGACGGAGAAGGCUAGGCCAGCACGGCGUUGGUUGUCCGUGUUCAAGGUGGUAGGCCGAGAUCUCAGGCAAAUCCGGGAUCUCAAGGCCGAGAACUGAUAACGACCCUUCUUUUGAAGGGGAAGUGGUUGAUGCCAUGCUUCCAGGAAAAGCCUCUAAGCUUCAGGUAACCAGAAAUCGUACCCCAAACCGACACAGGUGGUCAGGUAGAGAAUACCAAGGCGCUUGAGAGAACUCGGGUGAAGGAACUAGGCAAAAUGGCACCGUAACUUCGGGAGAAGGUGCGCCGGCCAGGGUGAAGGACUUGCUCCGUAAGCUCAGGCUGGUCGAAGAUACCAGGCCGCUGCAACUGUUUAUUAAAAACAUAGCACUCUGCAAACACGAAAGUGGACGUAUAGGGUGUGACGCCUGCCCGGUGCCGGAAGGUUAAUUGAUGGGGUUAGCGUAAGCGAAGCUCUUGAUCGAAGCCCCGGUAAACGGCGGCCGUAACUAUAACGGUCCUAAGGUAGCGAAAUUCCUUGUCGGGUAAGUUCCGACCUGCACGAAUGGCGUAAUGAUGGCGGCGCUGUCUCCACCCGAGACUCAGUGAAAUUGAAAUCGCUGUGAAGAUGCAGUGUAUCCGCGGCUAGACGGAAAGACCCCGUGAACCUUUACUAUAGCUUUGCACUGGACUUUGAAUUUGCUUGUGUAGGAUAGGUGGGAGGCUUUGAAGCGUGGACGCCAGUUCGCGUGGAGCCAACCUUGAAAUACCACCCUGGCACGUUUGAGGUUCUAACUCUGGUCCGUUAUCCGGAUCGAGGACAGUGUAUGGUGGGUAGUUUGACUGGGGCGGUCUCCUCCUAAAGAGUAACGGAGGAGUACGAAGGUGCGCUCAGCACGGUCGGAAAUCGUGCGUAGAGUAUAAAGGCAAAAGCGCGCUUGACUGCGAGACCAACACGUCGAGCAGGUACGAAAGUAGGUCUUAGUGAUCCGGUGGUUCUGUAUGGAAGGGCCAUCGCUCAACGGAUAAAAGGUACUCCGGGGAUAACAGGCUGAUACCGCCCAAGAGUUCAUAUCGACGGCGGUGUUUGGCACCUCGAUGUCGGCUCAUCACAUCCUGGGGCUGAAGCCGGUCCCAAGGGUAUGGCUGUUCGCCAUUUAAAGUGGUACGCGAGCUGGGUUUAGAACGUCGUGAGACAGUUCGGUCCCUAUCUGCCGUGGACGUUUGAGAUUUGAGAGGGGCUGCUCCUAGUACGAGAGGACCGGGGUGGACGAACCUCUGGUGUUCCGGUUGUGUCGCCAGACGCAUUGCCGGGUAGCUACGUUCGGAAACGAUAACCGCUGAAAGCAUCUAAGCGGGAAGCGUGCCUCAAGAUGAGAUCUCACCGGGGACUUGAUCCCCCUGAAGGGCCGUCGAAGACUACGACGUUGAUAGGCUGGGUGUGUAAGCGUUGUGAGGCGUUGAGCUAACCAGUACUAAUUGCCCGUGUGGCUUGACCAU
This 1723-nucleotide ribosomal RNA is filed under the name Halopseudomonas formosensis. RNAcentral's name for it is "bacterial LSU rRNA". It matches the Rfam family "Bacterial large subunit ribosomal RNA", at positions 1222 to 2925 of the family's 2925-position model. Lineage: Bacteria; Pseudomonadati; Pseudomonadota; Gammaproteobacteria; Pseudomonadales; Pseudomonadaceae. The record is from RNAcentral.